This is a non-coding RNA of Clostridium autoethanogenum DSM 10061, 130 nucleotides long. Lineage: Bacteria; Bacillati; Bacillota; Clostridia; Eubacteriales; Clostridiaceae. The record is from Rfam.
AUUAAAUAUGUAAAUAUUCCGUAGACAAUAGGUGCGAUAGCAUAACGGUGUAACCAACCUAUCAAGGAUUCCAAUAGAAAGUAUAGUUGGUCUCUCUCUGUGUCUAUGGAGAGACUUUUUAAUUUAUAUG